Molecule: ribosomal RNA, 81 nt
Filed under: uncultured bacterium
Lineage: Bacteria
Description: partial 16S ribosomal RNA
Source: RNAcentral
ACGGUCGUAGUACCGUAACGACCGGUCGGGCGACCCUUUACGGUAGGCGAGCCGUCGAAGGUAGGGUUGAUGAUUGGGGUG